This is a long non-coding RNA of Acomys russatus (golden spiny mouse), 603 nucleotides long. RefSeq lists it as uncharacterized. The record is from RefSeq and is a predicted model, not a curated record. The transcript has 3 exons. NCBI's taxonomy places the organism in Eukaryota, Metazoa, Chordata, Mammalia, Rodentia, Muridae.
AUCAGCAAAAUGUUGGUGUAACUCACAGAUUCUGCGCAAGCUCCUCGGGAGGCACAUAUUUUCCAGGCCAGUUCUCUGAUCUAUGUAUUGAUAAGGUGGAAGUUGCUGGUGACCCAAAAGUAGCAGGGAUGAUUCUGGUUGCCAGAUGGGCUUAUCUUUACUCACUUCAAGGAUACCGUCACCCAGCCAGGAUUUGUCUUACCAUGAGGAUCAGUUCUUGUGUCUUGGACUUAGAAGUUGAGUCCCAUGAAUGAAAAUAAACAACAACGUAUUUCUGAAUUGGAGCAUCACACCAAGGAGUAUCAUUAACAAACAAAAGAAAACAAAACAAAGAGGAGGAUCCUGUAACAGCACCUUCCUAGCUUUGCCACAGUUUUCUUUGAAUUUCUGGCAAGACAUUCUCCAGGAUUUUCUGCAGAUUCCCAGGCUGCUAUCUGCCUUUCAAGUCAUGGUGAACAUCUGUAGAUGCAUCACCUCCGUGGGGAGCCUCUCUCUAGCUAGCUAGACUAUGAGUUAUUUAAGGGUAGAAUCUAGUUCUGAUUCAUUUUUGUCCCCUCCCAACUUGCAUAUAUAGCUUAAUUUAAUGUGGUGUUUGGAAAAAAU